UACGUAGGGGCGAGCGUUACCCGGAAUCACUGGGCGUAAAGGGAGCGUAGGUGGCCUGACAUGUCGACUGUGAAAACCCGGAGCUCAACUCCGGACUUGCAGUUGAAACUGCCAGGCAUGAGGACGGUAGAGGAAGACGGAACUGCCAGUGUAGGGGUAAAAUCCUUAGAUAUUGGCAGGAACGCCGGUGACGAAGGCGGUUUUCUGGGCCGGUUCUGACACUGAUGCUCGAAAGCCAGGGGAGCGAACGGGAUUAGAUACCCUCGUAGUCCCUGAGCGGGCU
This 283-nucleotide ribosomal RNA is filed under the name uncultured prokaryote. RNAcentral describes it as "partial 16S ribosomal RNA". It matches the Rfam family "Bacterial small subunit ribosomal RNA", at positions 524 to 805 of the family's 1533-position model. The record is from RNAcentral.